AUUGAACGCUGGCGGCAUGCUUUACACAUGCAAGUCGAACGGUAACAGGCCGCAAGGUGCUGACAAGUGGCGAACGGGUGAGUAAUGCAUCGGAACGUGCCCAGUCGUGGGGGAUAACUACUCGAAAGAGUAGCUAAUACCGCAUACGAUCUAUGGAUGAAAGCGGGGGACCGUAAGGCCUCGCGCGAUUGGAGCGGCCGAUGUCAGAUUAGGUAGUUGGUGGGGUAAAGGCUCACCAAGCCAACGAUCUGUAGCUGGUCUGAGAGGACAACCAGCCACACUGGGACUGAGACACGGCCCAGACUCCUACGGGAGGCAGCAGUGGGGAAUUUUGGACAAUGGGCGCAAGCCUGAUCCAGCAAUGCCGCGUGCAGGAAGAAGGCCUUCGGGUUGUAAACUGCUUUUGUACGGAACGAAACGGCUCUGGUUAAUACCCGGGGCUAAUGACGGUACCGUAAGAAUAAGCACCGGCUAACUACGUG
RNAcentral lists this ribosomal RNA (482 nucleotides) under uncultured bacterium. RNAcentral's name for it is "partial 16S ribosomal RNA". It matches the Rfam family "Bacterial small subunit ribosomal RNA", at positions 30 to 507 of the family's 1533-position model. The record is from RNAcentral.